This is a long non-coding RNA of Bolinopsis microptera, 740 nucleotides long. RefSeq lists it as uncharacterized. The record is from RefSeq and is a predicted model, not a curated record. Lineage: Eukaryota; Metazoa; Ctenophora; Tentaculata; Lobata; Bolinopsidae. The transcript has 3 exons.
UCAAAUUAGCAGUUAAAGAUAACAGGAAAUUAACGGAACACGAUAACGGCGAAAUGGUGAAGAUGUUGAUUAUCUUGCUUGUGAUCUUAGGUUUUUCGGAGGGUCGUUACCCGUACGACACGUGUAACCCGGGGUUGGUAAACGAAGGGUGGACUUGUAACGAAGAAAAUUUGUGUUGGUUUGGAUGUGACAAACUUAAUUUUAAGUGUUGGUCACAAUGUAAUGGAGCUAGUGCGAUUGCAUGGGACGGGCCGGAAGGAACAUGUAAUACAGAGUGGCACUCAAUGUGGGAUAUUGAGUGGUGCUGGCUGCGUGGCGCGAACACCACGUGUACUACUGACUCAGACUGCGAGGGUGUCAAAUUCAACCAAUGUGCUGGAGCUUGCUCUAUCGCUUAGAUACCAGAAUAUAGACUUAGUUACUGGGAUAUAGAGUUUUAGAGCUUAGUUACCGGGACAUGUAGCUUAUUUACUGUUAUACAUAUAAUUAUGUAUAAUGUCCUAGCUAAUAAAGGACGAUGGGUUGAGCAAAUUAUUAAUUAUUAAGUAUUUUUAUUGUAUCAUUAUAAUAUUUUUAUAUUUUCAUUACCUAAAUAUGUGAAAAUUAAGUGAAAAUUUCAUUUGUCAAAAAAAAUAGAGCCAUUCACAUUUUACACACUAUUCUCAACUCAGGGAACUCACCCUGUAUAUGUAUGUAUAAUUAUAACUUAAUAAAAAUAUAAUUCAGGACUCUGUUUUGCA